ACACUCGCCUGGGUCUCCGGUUGGCGGCUCGGACGGAGUUCAUUUGCCGGGCUGAGGUGGCGGCGUUGGCGGAGGGACACACACACGCACACGCACAGCGAGCUUCGGGGCAGGAGAAAGGGGUCCCACAAACUGCAAGGAAAAGAAAAACCCUCAAGAGGAAUUACCUUUAUACCUGAUGCCCCCAACAUAAUCUCUCUCCAAGGGAAACUUGUUUUUAUUGCCUUGCGGCUGUUACGAUGACUGAAAAUGUAUUCUGGAUUCUCCCCCUUCUCUCUUUUGUUUUGCAUUUUUUGGAUGUGGUAAAACUGGCAGUUUAUCUGAUUAUCUGGUUUUCAGAACUUUGGACGAUGUCUCUGAGUGUCAUCAGUUGCUGUCUAGGUUUGACAUAGAUAAUUAAGCAACUACAAAGCGUGAUAAAGCUUUUGAGAGGGAGGAAAGUGUAUUUUGGA
RNAcentral lists this non-coding RNA (452 nucleotides) under Pan troglodytes (chimpanzee). Lineage: Eukaryota; Metazoa; Chordata; Mammalia; Primates; Hominidae. The record is from RNAcentral.